Molecule: long non-coding RNA, 2144 nt
Organism: Lagopus leucura (white-tailed ptarmigan)
Lineage: Eukaryota; Metazoa; Chordata; Aves; Galliformes; Phasianidae
Exons: 5
Source: RefSeq, a predicted model, not a curated record
CCUCCAUCAUUUUCUGCUGUGUUGGGUUGUGCCUAAAAGUGGGACUUGAUUUCUGUGUUAGAGACUUCACAUCAUCUUAAAAUUCAAGACCGGUGCAGGAGAUUCGAUCAAAACACGCACUCUGAAUGUUUGCAAGAUGAGCACAAGACCUUUGUAAGAACCAGACAGGGAGGUCUUUAUUAUGAAGAGAAGAAUCAUUUUAUGUUUGGUCAAAGCUGUUGGUGGAGUGGUCCAAGCCUCCUGUGGAUGAAACACACCCAGCCAAACGCAGGCCAAAUGUCCUUACCUGUGCAGCCCCUCCUGUAGCAAAGGUAGCAGUUGCAGCUCCAAACACGGAACUCACAGAGCUGAGCCCAGCCCUGGAGUGUACACAGAUGACCAGGACUUCUGCUGGCUGGGCUCUGCUGUGCACCCCAUCCCUUCCACUAGGGAGCCAUGGCAUCCAGUGUCCUCACUUGUGCAAGCCUCCUCUUUAUGCUCUCCUAACAUUCCUGGUCCCAGAACAGCCCCUGCUGCUGAUUUCUCCAGAAGAGCUGGGUUCGUGCCCCAUCCAGGCCUGCUUAGGGGGCUGAACCACUGCUGAGUUUCCCGACUCUUUUGGUACAGAUCUUCAGCUGAGUCUGAGAAGAAGUGCUGAGCCAUCUCCUGGGGCUCGCCUGGUGUGCAGUCUUCGUGUUGAGCCUCUUCAGUGGAUGUGCAAUUGCCAAGGCAGACAUCUGGUGAGGUGAAAAGAAGCUGCCAGGACAAGAGCUGCAGCUCUAACACACAUCACAGCAGAGGUUCAAGGCAAACUGGAUGCAUGCAGCCAAACUGAAUCCUUUAAAAUUAAUCUGUUGAAAGACCUGCAGUGAGAGGCUGACAGGCAGUAGUUAUGGUGAUGGCUGAAGUGUGGUUGAGGGUGCUGCAAUUGCUGCUCAUGCAGAGAGCAGAUAAAUCCCUCAGAUGUGCAGGUUGCCAAGAACUGACAUCUUUUGUAAACAGCAUCUCUCAGUUUUGCCCCAGAGAUGUCCAGCUUGGGCAUGACAUGGAAGAAAGCUGAGAGAAGAGAUGGGGAGAGAGGGAAAAGAAAAGAGCAGCAUAAAACAUCUGUGAAACUGAAGGAAGCAGCUUCUAGUGUGGAUGGGUUCCUGUGCAAACUGUCAGAGCUGAAGUGGGAGAGAAAACCUCCAAAGCUAGAGCUCCAUGGUCGAUGACUGUUGAUGGGUUUUUGCUUUAUAUGCUCAGUGGUAUUUCAUGAAGCACGCUGGUCUCCUCCACGAGCUCUCCAACAGAUUACAAGGACUGCACUUGACUGAGCUCCUGGUGUUCUGCUGUGUCUGCUGUGCAGAAACAGAGCUGUGGCACAUGCCUUUGCAUGGCGGGGGAUAAACACAGCAGCAGAGAUGGAAGAUAAGUGGCAAUAAAAAGUACAGUGUGGAGCGCCUGCCCUUUAAAAUAUAUUAGAUAGUUUACAAAUAAAGCUGUGUAUUUUUAGGAUCUAUCUAGAAUUGUUUGGCCUGUAGACCUUGAGGAAUCUGACCUUGAAGGGAAAAAGUAAAGCUGUGGCCAGCCUUCAAAAUGAUCUGGAAGCAGAUGAGGACAAGGAUUCUUGCUUAUUAUUUCAGCAAUAAUGGUGUGCAGAAAUGCCAAGUGUUUGGUGAGGUCUGCAAGCAGGGCUCCUUCCUUCCUUCCACAACCAUCCUGGUGGAGCAGUGAGGAGGAGGGGGCCUGAGCUGCAGCUUACCUUCCCUCAAGUGAACCUGGUGGAGAUGGCUGUGAAGUGACUGUAGGAAUUGGUGCUGUAAUCUUCUCAUUUUAAAUUUGUUCUUAGAGAAAACACAGAUGAUUCUCUGCAUGGAGAAUCCCCUGCACGUGCUGGGGCCAGGCUGCUGAUUCAGGGAGCCAGAGCCUCCACGUGCUUUGUGCUCUGGCAGAGAAAAUGUAAACACAUCUCUGGUUUUAUGUCUGACCGAGGAGAUGUAAAUCAAGUGUGUGCUGAAGCCUUUUAAAUGUUUUGACAUUUUCCAAUCCAUCAAGGCCUUUAAUUGUAUUUUGAGUGAGUUGUUGUAUAUGUAAAUACCCGUUAAUGUUGAAAUUGUUUAUAGCCAAAUUGUCUGUUUAUGCAAAUCGUGUUCCGAGAUCACAGAGUUUCUAUUGCGGAAUAA